ACGGGGCGCAAGGACUGCCGGCGCGGCGCGCGGCAACGGGACAGCGUGGCGCGGCGCGGCAGGCGGCGGUGGCAGACGGGUCACGGGGAGGGGAUGGAGGAGAGAGGAAGAGAGAGAAAGGAGAGAGAAGGGGAUAAAUUUUAGGGAUUUGACAGUUGAUCAUCCAAACAAGAUUGACUGCGCCAAGGUUAAGCGUGCACUGAAGAAUUUAAAGAUAAGACAAGCCCUGCAAAUACAGAAUAUAACAUUGUUGGUUUGAGCAACAGGAGUUGCUCUGAACAGAUGUCAUUACUAUUGAAAUCCCCAUGGGCGUGGCACAGUUUGCCGUGCCCAUGAUGUGUUCGAUGAAAUGCCCGACUGGGACUGCCACGCCCACGAUAUGUUCGAUGAAGUGCCCGAUUGGAACGUUCUGGCUUGGACGACCAUGCUCUCCGGCUGCGCUUCCAGUGGCCGCCACCGCGACGCGCAGGACGUCUUCCAACGUAUCGCCGCGGCAGGCAUCGGUGUCAAUGAGUUCACGCUGGUCAGCAAACUUGCAUUACAGGCAGGUGGUCGUCAGGGCUAGGAACCUGAGGACCAAUGCGCAGUUCAUCCUGGCUAAGGUCUUCAAGGCAUGCAAGAUUUAUUAUACCAACAAGCUUUAAGCAAAGUUAUACUCCUGAUCACUUGGACUGAUUCAAGCAUUCCCCCCCCCCCCCCCCCCACCUAAAGGUGAUUCACUAUAGCGUGCAAGAAAGCUUAGAAGAAUACAUACAGGAAACUGGUUGUGCUGGGAGCGAUGGGCGGUUGUCACAUUGUCAUCUACUUUUUGAUCCAAAAACAUUCUAUAAGAUCCAUAGUUUUGCACACAGGUGAACAUUUUCUUCUGAUUUCCGCGUUCAAUCUGCAACAGUUGUAUCUAACAUUCUUUUUUUUUUUACAAUGACGGUGUUGAUGAAUAUGCCAUGAGUAAAUUUCUGUAAUAAGUAUUUUCCUGUGACAAUUCAAUGGGAUGCAUUUGUUCCUUGGUUAAAGAGUCGACUUCACGCAAGAUCAAUGUAAAAGAAAAGGUUUGUACCUGCCUCAUCAAUCAGCCGAAUACACAUGGUUUCUUUUUUUCAUGCGCUCAUGCUAUAUUUCAGGUAGUUUGUAGUUUCAAAUUGUGCUUUAUUUAUUUAACAAUAUCUACACCUAUUACUGCCAUUGGAAUGAACUUUCUCUCUAUUCUUUUUCUGUACAAAAAAAAACUUGUAUUGUCAAUGUGUUCUUUUUUCUUUAAAAAAAACUCGGAUAUAGUGACAGGAGAUAAAGCAGAAUAUUUUCAGAGUUUAUCAUAGAAAUAUAUAUACAUAUACACAUAAUAUCUAAGGAUAUAUUUACUUUACAGUUUUAAGAGGCUGGUUAUACAUGUUUAUUUGCAUUCCAUUUCUUGAAAAUAAGUGCACUAAUUCUAUUUACUAAUAUCUUCUAUUUGUACACAUGAAAAUAUUAUAGUACCAUAGAUAGCUACGUAUUUGGUUCUGCUAAAACUUAUAUUUGAUAAUGCAUGGGUACCACCACAAGAACAUUUGAAGUGUAAGUAGUUUCUUACAAGCACAACUCUCUCAGCCAAGCUUGCAAUAGCUCAAUUUUGUCAAAUGUAACAUUUAUCAUGUUGGAAUACCUUCAACGCCCCUUGAAUGUCAUGUCAUCAUGCUCAAGGUGUUAUUCCUACAACAUUCCUCUGACAUGCGUUUUGGAACUGCAGUGUUAAUACAGUUCCUUGCUGCCAUAACCUUCCAAUGUGCAAUUUUGAAUCAAUUUGCAUUCACUGACCACUCUCACCAUAUAAUAUGUGAACUGGUCGAACUGAAGCUUGACCAUUUACAUGUGUACUUUCAAUAUCUCCUGGAACGCUCGCGAGCUGACGAUGACGAGGGGCUCCUCAACCAGGGCCUUGUCGGAGAGUUGCCUCCCCGACGGCUCCAACGGUUCCGAUGGCUCUGCGCCGCCAAUGUUGCCAGCGUAGUUAGGUAUUUUAACAUUCAUGCUAUUUGCAGUUUUUAAAUUAAUACCUGACAUGGAUUUAGCAUCAUGACUCUUUCUUACUCUGAUCCGAUGUGGAUCCAUAACUUAAUUCAAAAAGUAUAUGACAUAAUGAUUGUAUUACUGGAAAUAGAAAAUUAGCUUAGUACUACCACGUAAAUACAUUGAAAAUACAUGUAACAAUAACAAGUAUAUCUUAGAUAUGGAUUAACAGACUGACUACUGAACAUAAUCAGUUUUGCAAAAAUGCACAAGAAGGGAUUAUUUUCGUUUCCUUAGCCUUCUCAUGUACCACAUGAAGAAUAUGACACAACAAACAAGGGUCAGCAGGCGAGGGUCUCCAAGCGCGGUAAAGCCGCGCCACUUUUCUAGUUCAUCCCUAGUUCGAGGGUCUUUGUUGAGAUAUCUUGUUAUUUUGGAUAAAAAAUAGAUAUUUAAAUUAUUUUAUUUUAUCUUAUAAACUCUAAAUCUUAUAUGGAUCUCGGAGCUUGCUACAUGGUAUUUUGCUCAAACAUAUGCACGAGAGAUCUCGAAAGAUAUGUGAAUAUUCACCGUAAUUCUUGUGUUUCUCAUGCCAGUUGUGCUGGAAUAUACUAUACGUACUUUAUCCUUGCUAAUAAUCUAAGUUAGGUCAGAGAUCUGAACUGAACAAAUUGAAGGUGCCGUAAGUUGGCUGAUCGAUGGAGACACAGUAAGCAGUCUAUUGAAGUGCACGAGAAGUCAACGCUGAUAGAGUUGGUUUGUGAGAACACAAGAGAGAUUUGUGUUGUUGAUGAUGAGUGAUUGAUGUAAUUGUUGAUUUAGAGCCUUUAGUUUGCAUAGUAUGUUUCAAUUAUGUUUGAUUAUGUUUAUGGCUAACCGGGGGUGAAAACAGAGGAUAGCGGAGAGAUAUGUUUCUUGGCUCAUGAUGUGUAGGUGUAUGGAUGCGACAUGACGGUCGACGGCAAGGUGGUGAAGGGCAAGUGGAGGCUUGGUACCGACGGACCGUACCAGACCGGGUGGAGCCAUGGGCGAGCCGCAUCGCUCACAUGGAGGGCACAAGAAAACAUGGUGGGAAGAGAAGGUGAUGAAGAUGGUGUCGACCAAGUCAAGAUGAAAAGGCGAUGGCAAGUCGAGAGACGGCCCAGUUGUAACACCCCGGGGACAA
RNA transcript from Phragmites australis (common reed), 3151 nucleotides. RefSeq lists it as uncharacterized. The transcript has 6 exons. The record is from RefSeq and is a predicted model, not a curated record. Lineage: Eukaryota; Viridiplantae; Streptophyta; Magnoliopsida; Poales; Poaceae.